Molecule: ribosomal RNA, 459 nt
Filed under: uncultured bacterium
Lineage: Bacteria
Description: partial 16S ribosomal RNA
Rfam family: Bacterial small subunit ribosomal RNA
Source: RNAcentral
CUACGGGACGCACCAGUGAGGAAUAUUGGUCAAUGGGCGAAAGCCUGAACCAGCCAUGCCGCGUGAAGGAUGACGGCCCUAUGGGUUGUAAACUUCUUUUAUACGGGAAGAAACACCUCUACGUGUAGAGGUUUGACGGUACCGUACGAAUAAGCAUCGGCUAACUCCGUGCCAGCAGCCGCGGUAAUACGGAGGAUGCAAGCGUUAUCCGGAUUUAUUGGGUUUAAAGGGUACGUAGGCGGAAACUUAAGUCAGUAGUGAAAUCCCGCAGCUUAACUAUGGAACUGUUAUUGAUACUGGGUUUCUUGAAUAUUGUUGAGGUAGGCGGAAUAAGCAAUGUAGCGGUGAAAUGCUUAGAUAUUACUUAGAACACCGAUUGCGAAGGCAGCUUACUAAGCAAUUAUUGACGCUGAGGUACGAAAGCGUGGGGAGCGAAUAGGAUUAGAUACCCGCGUAGUC